RNAcentral lists this non-coding RNA (30 nucleotides) under Mus musculus (house mouse). The record is from RNAcentral. Lineage: Eukaryota; Metazoa; Chordata; Mammalia; Rodentia; Muridae.
UGAGAGGCAGCCUACAGAGUGAAACUCCGU